This 932-nucleotide long non-coding RNA is filed under the name Anser brachyrhynchus (Pink-footed goose). RNAcentral's name for it is "lncRNA (ENSABRG00000010100.1)". The record is from RNAcentral. Lineage: Eukaryota; Metazoa; Chordata; Aves; Anseriformes; Anatidae.
GGAGCCACAAGGAGCUUAAUCUAUAUUUGUUAAAAUGAAGACCUGUAGCAUGUUCUUCUAACGCACCAGUAGCAGGGGAAAGGGCAAAUGUCCAGAUUGAUGGGAAUAAAUUGUUUGAGAACUUCUGAGGAAUGAUAAAAGGCAGAGGAACCUGCCCUUUAAGAAUCCCAAGCAACUACAGGGAAGGUGUUAAGACAAAGGUUUGUUUGUGCAGGAGCUGCUGUGCACUCGUCCUUGACAGGAAGGGCAAGCUGAGCAAACAGGGCAGAGGACGAGCAUGUGAGGUGGCCGCAGGGGAGCCAGCAGCAGGGACAGGGCUGCUCCGACUGCUUGAGAAUCUCUUCAGCAACCGGGAAGGGGCUGAAAGCACAAAGACAAGAUUGUGUUGUGAAGGUGUUUCCUCACAGAGUCUGGGUUAUUUCUGUUGCAGUAUUGCUUCCUUCACACCCCUUGUAUUACUAUGCUAUAGGAUUAACAUCAGGCAGUUAGGAGAAACUUCAGACUUCCCAGAGCAUGGCCCAAGGAGUAGCCAAUGCUCUGUUGUCCAUAGCUGCAUUCAGUUUAGAGUUUACUUGCUGUGAAUGUACGUUUUGAAAAAGCUUUUUUGCUUUGUUGUAAUUUAAGAACAGUCCUUCCAAUGUCUCUAUUGUCAAGUAUGUGCUGAGAUGUAUGGGUACUUCUGCCGGUAUAGUCUUUCCAUCGCAACUUGAAGCUAUGGAAUGUGCAAGAGUGGUCCUUAAUUUUAUUCUUAUUCAGAAGUGGAAAAGAAGGCAGUGAUAACAGAGAAAAUUUUCAUUUUCCUUCUUAAACCCCACCAGUUUGAAUAAUCUUUUGCUGAGUUUCCUGAUGUGGCUAUUUGCAUUCUUUUGUGAAUUCAGACUGACUGUUAGCAGCCUCCAAAUAAAACAUGGUUAUAUGAAGAUUUACCUUGG